Hordeum vulgare subsp. vulgare (domesticated barley) is the source of this 144-nucleotide non-coding RNA. Lineage: Eukaryota; Viridiplantae; Streptophyta; Magnoliopsida; Poales; Poaceae. The record is from Rfam.
UAUAUACUCCGUCCGUCUCAAAAUUCUUGUCUUAAGUUUGUUUAGAAAUGAUUAUAUCUAAAAUUCUAAAUACUAAAUCGUAACUAUAUACAUUCAUAUUUAGACAAUUCUAAGACAAGAAUUUUCGGACGGAGGGAGUAUACA